UGAAAUGCCACAUGUGGUUCCUAUUAUAUUAAUAUUUCUACUGGAGCACAACUUUGGGAUCCUGAGACAACCUUGAGAACAAGGGCGGAAAGGAAUCCAUAAUGAAGAGCUGAAGGUGACAGGAGUUCUCAUCACACUAACUGAUCCUCAGGAGUCAAGUGUGUGACCGUUAAGAGUAAAGCUUAAACAGCCCAACGGAAGAUCAGAGAACCAUGGCUUCACUUGUGUCCCACAUCCUGACGACACUUUCAGGAAAAUAUAGCCAAAUGGGAAAGCCCAGGGCAGCUGCCUCACUUGCAGCAGGCUUAAAGAAAAUACCACCCAAGCCGCUGGGAUUAUCAUUUUAAUAAAGAAUCCUCACGAGUGCUGAUCAGAGUCACCCUACAGGACAGAUGCUCUGCAGGAUCAAAUGGGCUUCCAGUGGAGUCUGGAAAACCCGCCUGGUUUCUGUGAUGCUGAAACCUCCACCAAAUGGAAGAAAUUAACCACCUGAGGCCAUGAGCAGACAGCCCCCAGACCUCCUGGAGCCGAAGGACUGACAAUGUUACCCAUGCUGUCACCACACCAUCAGCCAGUCAGAGAAGCGUGCACCAGCGAGGACACACUCCCUCUCCUUGCCUUUAAAGAUGCUUUACCAAAAGCCACGGGGAGUUCAGCUGUUUUGAGCACGAGCUGCCCUGGACCCCCUGCUUGGCGCCCUGAAUAAACACUGCCCUUUCCUUCACCACAACCUGGUGUCAGGAGACUGACUUCACUGUGUGUGGGUGAGCAGGCCUGAGUUUGGUUCAGCAACAGUAGCACAUGGACACUACUAGGUACUUAACAAGUAUGAGUCUUCUUCAUUCAUUAAAAAACAACG
Non-coding RNA from Odocoileus virginianus texanus, 859 nucleotides. NCBI's taxonomy places the organism in Eukaryota, Metazoa, Chordata, Mammalia, Artiodactyla, Cervidae. The record is from RefSeq and is a predicted model, not a curated record.